This 20-nucleotide ribosomal RNA is filed under the name Collybia cookei. Its description in RNAcentral is "partial 18S ribosomal RNA". RNAcentral also lists the same sequence under 1 other name. Lineage: Eukaryota; Fungi; Basidiomycota; Agaricomycetes; Agaricales; Clitocybaceae. The record is from RNAcentral.
AACAUGCGGAAGGAUCAUUA